AUUGAACGCUGGCGGCAUGCCUUACACAUGCAAGUCGAACGGUAACGCGGGGCAACCUGGCGACGAGUGGCGAACGGGUGAGUAAUGUAUCGGAACGUGCCCAGUUGUGGGGGAUAACUGCUCGAAAGAGCAGCUAAUACCGCAUACGACCUGAGGGUGAAAGCGGGGGAUCGCAAGACCUCGCGCAAUUGGAGCGGCCGAUAUCAGAGUAGGUAGUUGGGGGGGUAAAGGCGCACCAAGCCGACGAUCGGUAGCUGGUCUGAGAGGACGACCAGCCACACUGGGACUGAGACACGGCCCAGACUCCUACGGGAGGCAGCAGUGGGGAAUUUUGGACAAUGGACGCAAGUCUGAUCCAGCCAUGCCGCGUGCGGGAAGAAGGCCUUCGGGUUGUAGACCGCUUUUGUCAGGGAAGAAAAGGCUCCUUCUAAUAUAGGGGGCUCAUGACGGUACCUGAAGAAUAAGCACCGGCUAACUACGUGCCAGCCGCCGCAGUAA
Molecule: ribosomal RNA, 498 nt
Filed under: uncultured bacterium
Lineage: Bacteria
Description: partial 16S ribosomal RNA
Rfam family: Bacterial small subunit ribosomal RNA
Source: RNAcentral